Molecule: long non-coding RNA, 962 nt
Organism: Mytilus californianus (California mussel)
Lineage: Eukaryota; Metazoa; Mollusca; Bivalvia; Mytilida; Mytilidae
Exons: 7
Source: RefSeq, a predicted model, not a curated record
GCCCUGACUUGAAUUGACAAUGGUUAUCACAUCGAAAGUUUACAGGUGGUUUGUUCUGACUAUAAUUGACAAUGGUUAUCACAUCAAAAGUUUACAGGUGGUUUGUCCUGACUUGAAUUGACAAUGGUUAUCACAUCAAAAGUUUACAGGUGGUUUGUCCUGACUUGAAUUGACAAUGGUUAUCACAUCGAAAGUUUACAGGUGGUUUGUCCUGACUUGAAUUGACAAUGGUUAUCACAUCGAAAGUUUACAGGUGGUUUGUCCUGACUUGAAUUGACAAUGGUUAUCACAUCGAAAGUUUAACGGUGGUUUGUUCUGACUUGAAUUGACAAUGGUUAUCACAUCGAAAGUUUACAGGUGGUUUGUUCUGACUAUAAUUGACAAUGGUUAUCACAUCAAAAGUUUACAGGUGGUUUGUCCUGACUUGAAUUGACAAUGGUUAUCACAUCAAAAGUUUACAGGUGGUUUGUCCUGACUUGAAUUGACAAUGGUUAUCACAUCGAAAGUUUACAGGUGGUUUGUCCUGACUUGAAUUGACAAUGGUUAUCACAUCGAAAGUUUACAGGUGGUUUGUCCUGACUUGAAUUGACAAUGGUUAUCACAUCGAAAGUUUAACGGUGGUUUGUUCUGACUUGAAUUGACAAUGGUUAUCACAUCGAUAGUUAACGUUGGUUUGAACUAACUUAUAUUGACAAUGUUUAUUACAUCGAUUAUUUAAAAAAAAAAGAGAAGACAUGAAACCUAAAUCAAUAUUUAUAAGUUGUUUAGAUAUAAGUUAGAAACAGAAUUAUUGUAAGGUAGACGACAAAAAUGUUUUAGAAAUUAGCUAUUAUAUAUAAUAAUUAGCUAUAAAAUAUUACGCAUAUUGUUGGACAACUAUUUUGAAGGCUUGUAACUACAAAAAAUGGCAUUUAAUAAUAUCUAUAUGAUUUUCAGGUAACCUGUAAGUAAAAUAAUUCAUU